Molecule: non-coding RNA, 794 nt
Organism: Pelobates cultripes (western spadefoot toad)
Lineage: Eukaryota; Metazoa; Chordata; Amphibia; Anura; Pelobatidae
Source: the annotation of a GenBank genome assembly
AAAAUAUUCUAAAAUCAUUUUAUUUUCUUAAAUCCGAGGAUUUUAAAUGCUCGUAUGAAAAGCAGAGGUGUCAGAAGAGUUGUUUUAAGCCAGGUAUGCUGAAUGUGUAAUCCAAUAAUAGAUGCCAUUUUUGUUUGUUUUUUUACAAUUCUUUAUUUUUGUUGUGCAUGAAGGUAUAACAUAAUGACCUGCAAUGCCCCAACAGCACACACAGGUACAAGGUAAAACCCAUCAUAACAGUUGGUCAGCAUUAUAGAACACUGCACAAUUUAAAGGUUAUCAUAUUCAAGUUAAGCAUACAUGUCUAACCGAUAUACUGUAGAGGAACAUGGAAAAAAAGACGUGUGUUAGACAGGAUACGUUGUGUUGUCACUUACAAGGGUACACGUAACACGAGAACUAUAAAAUGUAAUUUAAAUGUGGUCUAUAUUCUAAAUUUCAUAUAGUCCUCAUCCAAAGCCCCGAUCCUGUGAUAGAGACUGUCCCUUUAAAUCUUUUUAUCUGAAAGGGGAACUACCACUGAGUUUUAUGCCUAUUUAAACAAAUAUGUGUUUAUGAGAUCUGAAAAACAAAAUGGAAUGUAGCAAUUCAUUUCCCUUUAUACUUCAUCUCAGCUACCUAUCAAUCAUUGUUAUAAGCUCCGCCCUUUACACCUGGCAGUCAGUGUAGAGAGAGCCACCGCCAUCUUAGCUCCCUGUCAAUCAUUGUUAUAAGCUCCACCCUUUACACCUGGCAGUCAGUAUAGAGAGAGCCGCCUCCAUCUUAGCUCCCUGUCAGUCAUUGUUAUAAGCUCC